CUGCAAAUAUCCUCACUGUUCUGAUUUUGUGAUAAUCAGUGCAGGCUGAACACUGGCUGUGUGAGGACCUUGCAUGUGUCCCCAGACCUAGUUUUUUGUUUGUCUGUUUGUUUUUUGUUUUUCCUAAGUCUGGAUUUUAAAAUGCUGGUGAU
Molecule: small nucleolar RNA, 152 nt
Filed under: Dasypus novemcinctus (nine-banded armadillo)
Lineage: Eukaryota; Metazoa; Chordata; Mammalia; Cingulata; Dasypodidae
Description: Small nucleolar RNA SNORA72 (ENSDNOG00000029763.2)
Rfam family: Small nucleolar RNA SNORA72
About the family: U72 is a member of the H/ACA class of snoRNAs. The snoRNA gene is located in intron 4 of the ribosomal L30 protein gene in human, mouse and chicken.
Source: RNAcentral